UUUUAUUGCAAAACAUGUAGAAAUAGACCGCGUGUUGUUGUUGCUUGAAAUUUGCAGUCUCCAAAUUCUUUUCUACUGAUUCUCUCUUGACCAGACUCCAACAGUGUUUUAUUCACCUUUACAACACUUAAACUGCCCAUGUUAAAGCCUCCACAUGGUAAAAUCCAAAGUGAGUGAGUGCUGGAACCAGCUUUCACAGGCCCAUGAGAGCCAAAUGGUCUCACUCUGUUUCCCGGGCUAGAGUGCAGAGGUACAAUCAGGGAUCAAUGGAACCUCCAUCUCCCAGGUCCAAGCAAACCUCCCACCUCAGCCUCCCGAG
Molecule: long non-coding RNA, 319 nt
Filed under: Homo sapiens (human)
Lineage: Eukaryota; Metazoa; Chordata; Mammalia; Primates; Hominidae
Description: HSALNT0191787
Source: RNAcentral